This 497-nucleotide ribosomal RNA is filed under the name uncultured bacterium. Its description in RNAcentral is "partial 16S ribosomal RNA". It matches the Rfam family "Bacterial small subunit ribosomal RNA", at positions 28 to 507 of the family's 1533-position model. The record is from RNAcentral.
GAUGAACGCUGGCGGCGUGCCUAAUACAUGCAAGUCGAGCGAACGGACGAGAAGCUUGCUUCUCUGAUGUUAGCGGCUGACGGGUGAGUAACACGUGGAUAACCUACCUAUAAGACUGGGAUAACUUCGGGAAACCGGAGCUAAUACCGGAUAAUAUUUUGAACCGCAUGGUUCAAAAGUGAAAGACGGUCUUGCUGUCACUUAUAGAUGGAUCCGCGCUGCAUUAGCUAGUUGGUAAGGUAACGGCUUACCAAGGCAACGAUGCAUAGCCGACCUGAGAGGGUGAUCGGCCACACUGGAACUGAGACACGGUCCAGACUCCUACGGGAGGCAGCAGUAGGGAAUCUUCCGCAAAGGGCGAAAGCCUGACGGAGCAACGCCGCGUGAGUGAUGAAGGUCUUCGGAUCGUAAAACUCUGUUAUUAGGGAAGAACAUAUGUGUAAGUAACUGUGCACAUCUUGACGGUACCUAAUCAGAAAGCCACGGCUAACUACGUG